UACGUAGGUCCCGAGCGUUAUCCGGAUUUAUUGGGUUUAAAGGGAGCGUAGGCGGGUUGUUAAGUCAGUUGUGAAAGUUUGCGGCUCAACCGUAAAAUUGCAGUUGAUACUGGCAUCCUUGAGUACAGUAGAGGUAGGCGGAAUUCGUGGUGUAGCGGUGAAAUGCUUAGAUAUCACGAAGAACUCCGAUUGCGAAGGCAGCCUGCUGGACUGUAACUGACGCUGAUGCUCGAAAGUGUGGGUAUCAAACAGG
RNAcentral lists this ribosomal RNA (253 nucleotides) under uncultured bacterium. RNAcentral describes it as "partial 16S ribosomal RNA". It matches the Rfam family "Bacterial small subunit ribosomal RNA", at positions 524 to 776 of the family's 1533-position model. The record is from RNAcentral.